AAGGAGUCUAACAUCUAUGCGAGUGUUCGGGCGUGAAACCCCUACGCGUAAUGAAAGUGAACGGAGGUGGGAACCGCAAGGUGCAUCAUCGACCGAUCCUGAUGUCUUCGGAUGGAUUUGAGUUAGAGCAUAGCUGUUAGGACCCGAAAGAUGGUGAACUAUGCCUGAAUAGGGUGAAGCCAGAGGAAACUCUGGUGGAGGCUCGCAGCGGUUCUGACGUGCAAAUCGAUCGUCAAAUUUGGGUAUAGGGGCGAAAGACUAAUCGAACCAUCUAGUAGCUGGUUCCUGC
RNAcentral lists this unclassified non-coding RNA (289 nucleotides) under uncultured fungus. RNAcentral's name for it is "partial contains 5.8S rRNA, ITS2 and 28S rRNA". It matches the Rfam family "Eukaryotic large subunit ribosomal RNA", at positions 668 to 961 of the family's 3401-position model. The record is from RNAcentral. Lineage: Eukaryota; Fungi.